GAUGAACGCUGGCGGCGUGCCUAAUACAUGCAAGUCGAGCGAACAGAUGAGGAGCUUGCUCCUCUGACGUUAGCGGCGGACGGGUGAGUAACACGUGGAUAACCUACCUAUAAGACUGGGAUAACUUCGGGAAACCGGAGCUAAUACCGGAUAAUAUAUUGAACCGCAUGGUUCAAUAGUGAAAGACGGUUUUGCUGUCACUUAUAGAUGGAACCGCGCUGCAUUAGCUAGUUGGUAAGGUAACGGCUUACCAAGGCAACGAUGCAUAGCCGACCUGAGAGGGUGAUCGGCCACACUGGAACUGAGACACGGUCCAGACUCCUACGGGAGGCAGCAGUAGGGAAUCUUCCGCAAUGGGCGAAAGCUUGACGGAGCAACGCCGCGUGAGUGAUGAAGGUCUUCGGAUCGUAAAACUCUGUUAUUAGGGAAGAACAAAUGUGUAAGUAACUAUGCACGUCUUGACGGUACCUAAUCAGAAAGCCACGGCUAACUACGUG
This 497-nucleotide ribosomal RNA is filed under the name uncultured bacterium. RNAcentral describes it as "partial 16S ribosomal RNA". It matches the Rfam family "Bacterial small subunit ribosomal RNA", at positions 28 to 507 of the family's 1533-position model. The record is from RNAcentral.